This 331-nucleotide ribosomal RNA is filed under the name uncultured bacterium. Its description in RNAcentral is "bacterial SSU rRNA". It matches the Rfam family "Bacterial small subunit ribosomal RNA", at positions 568 to 898 of the family's 1533-position model. The record is from RNAcentral.
UGUGUAGGCGGUUGUUUAAGUUCGGUGUGAAAUCUCCCGGCUCAACUGGGAGGGUGCGCCGAAUACUGAAUGACUUGGAGUGCGGGAGAGGAAAGUGGAAUUCCUGGUGUAGCGGUGAAAUGCGUAGAUAUCAGGAGGAACACCGGUGGUGUAGACGGCUUUCUGGACCGUAACUGACGCUGAGACACGAAAGCGUGGGUAGCAAACAGGAUUAGAUACCCUGGUAGUCCACGCCCUAAACGAUGCAUAUUUGGUGUGGGUCAUUCAGUUGAUCUGUGCCGGAGCUAACGCGUUAAAUAUGCCGCCUGGGGAGUACAGUCGCAAGGCUGAA